This 344-nucleotide unclassified non-coding RNA is filed under the name soil metagenome. RNAcentral describes it as "partial contains 5.8S ribosomal RNA, internal transcribed spacer 2, and large subunit ribosomal RNA". The stretch from base 3 to 118 matches the Rfam family "5.8S ribosomal RNA", at positions 38 to 154 of the family's 154-position model. The record is from RNAcentral.
GAGAAGAACGCAGCGAAAUGCGAUACGUAAUGUGAAUUGCAAAUUCAGUGAAUCAUCGAGUCUUUGAACGCACAUUGCGCCCCCCGGUAUUCCGGGGGGCAUGCCUGUCCGAGCGUCAUUGCUGCCCUCAAGCACGGCUUGUGUGUUGGGCCCCGUCCUCCGAUUCCGGGGGACGGGCCCGAAAGGCAGCGGCGGCACCGCGUCCGGUCCUCGAGCGUAUGGGGCUUUGUCACCCGCUCUGUAGGCCCGGCCGGCGCUUGCCGAUCAACCCAAAUUUUUAUCCAGGUUGACCUCGGAUCAGGUAGGGAUACCCGCUGAACUUAAGCAUAUCAAUAAGCGGAGGA